Long non-coding RNA from Gossypium raimondii (Peruvian cotton), 170 nucleotides. RefSeq lists it as uncharacterized. NCBI's taxonomy places the organism in Eukaryota, Viridiplantae, Streptophyta, Magnoliopsida, Malvales, Malvaceae. The record is from RefSeq and is a predicted model, not a curated record. The transcript has 3 exons.
GAACGUCUGAAGGUCAAAAGCUGCGUCAAAAUGAAUCGUUGCCCUUCCCCUUUUGAACACCUGUUGAAAACUGUCAGAAGAGUGGAGAAUAAACCAGAGACCACAACAGAAAAGUCGAAGCUGCUCUUCAUUUCCUUGACCAAAGACUCCAGGCACUGUUGAAAGAUAUG